This 1789-nucleotide unclassified non-coding RNA is filed under the name Leishmania donovani. RNAcentral describes it as "gene:unknown". Lineage: Eukaryota; Euglenozoa; Kinetoplastea; Trypanosomatida; Trypanosomatidae. The record is from RNAcentral.
AAAGGCACCUCUCGUGGAAGAUCGGCUCUUGCCGUCUUCUCUUUUUUUGUCCACAUCAACCAUCAGUGGACACAGACAAGAAGUGCACGCUUGUGCUCUUCCACCGUCUUCGAAGCCACUCCCGCUGCCUUUUCUCGUAGAACAUUCUCUGCUUCUGUGGCACACUCAUCGAUGUAGUUAACUCGCUCCCACGUAGUCACCCGCACGCGACCACGCGGCACCGCUGCUUGUAUGUGGUGACUCUCUUCGUCCUUGUCAUCUCCGUGACACUGUGGAGCGUCACCUCAUCCCCCGACAGCAUCAACGUCUCGCUUGUCGCAGUGAGCCUAGGGGAUUGCAAGCUUAUCCGGGGUUAGUGUAACACUAAUGCGCUUGUCGCCAUUCGCGGGACCAAAAUGAAUACGCAGAUGGCCGACGUGGCACUUGAGACAAGCUGUACGAUGAAGGGCAUGCUGGUCUUCACGGUGACGGUGCCCGCCGGCCAGAACUGCCCCGCGACCGCAACGCGUCCGACGGAUAUCCCCGUUUCAAUGUUCUACCAGAAGCUCAUCUGGGUCCGCGCUCUCUCGCAGGCAAUUUCUACCCCGCACCCAUAUUGCUUGUGGCCCAGAGGACGGUGCAUGUCUCUAUGGAUUUUUUUCCUGCAUGUCCGACUUCCAGGACGAGGGGCAACUGCUCAUGCGGGGCGAAUGAUGCAGCCCGCCGGCUUUUGCGGAGCUUGCAAAGGAACGCCUGUGCGACACCACGAACGCAAACUGCAUUAGGGCAACAUCCGCCGGCUUUAUGGAUAGCGCGGCAGUGGUGCCGACGUCGGCCAACCUGAUGGAGCGAGUCCGGGUGAAGAUGGCACAGGUUGCGCCCCAAACGUGCGUUCCGCCGGGUGUGUCGCUUGCGAACGACAUCACCGUGCGCCACUUCCGGAGCAUCCUUUUUACCAGGAACUGCUCUAUCCGUGCUGGAGGCGGCGCUAAAGGUGAUGGACACCCAUGCCGUUGACGGUGGUGCGGCCAGCUUUGCGCUGAGCGACGUCGCAGGCGCUACGGUGGAUGAUGUGCUGAGAAGCUACACCGCCACCGCAGCACGGUCCGCGAGCGAUAGGGCGAGCAGUUAUCUAUAUCUGCCGCCAAUGUUCGUGGCAGACUCCUUUUUUUUGUGUUUCUCUCUCGUCUUCUGCUUUCCGAUUUUGGCGUACAACAACUAUAGGCGGACAUGUCGGAGUUCCGCAUGUGGUGCUGCUCUUCCUCCCUCCUUGGCUGUGCGUGGUCUGUCUUGCUCAAAUACCAAAGAGGAAACACACAAACACGAGAACACUCGCUCUCUCUCUUUCUGUCUUUGCUGUGUGUGUGCUUGUGCGUAUAUGUGUGCUGGCGAAUAGGAUGCGGUGAGGUCGCCGUUCAUCUCAUGGCGAGACGCUUUUUUACCACGCCACGUGCUGCUUCUGCACUGGCGACUGAAUAAGUGUCUUUUGCUCGUUUUUAGUUCGUGUAGGUGCCCCUGUGCGCGUGCGUAUUCCAGUCACAUGCAGCGCAUCUGGUAGUGGCGCUGCCGGCGGAGGGGGGGGCAAUGCUUCCUCCCCUGUGCACUGCAGUAGAACGCGUGCAGACUUUAGUGACCAACAGAGACCGCCAUCUAUCAGCCUCCAGGUCUGCGCAUCUUCCAGUGGCGCACGCUAUCUGGCCUGCAGUUGUAUCAUGUCGCACCCAAAACUGACUAACACAUGUGAACAUCGAAGUGGCAGCGCUCCUUGUCUCGCGUAGUUUUGUUACUCUUUCUCUUCCCUGAUGUGCAG